This 210-nucleotide long non-coding RNA is filed under the name Lupinus angustifolius (narrow-leaved blue lupine). RNAcentral describes it as "long non-coding RNA (LANG_LNC001602)". Lineage: Eukaryota; Viridiplantae; Streptophyta; Magnoliopsida; Fabales; Fabaceae. The record is from RNAcentral.
CCCUGUAUAUACAAAUGACAGAUUAUUCACUCAACAACAAAUUUCCUUGUUUACAUCAUAUGGCCCAUAUUAUUCAUAAUGGUUUAGUUUGUCGUCUUUUAAUUAAUUAUUGUUUCAAUUAAAUAAAUGUGUGACAUCAGUCAUUUUUUAAAAAGAACGUCAAAAUUAUUGAUUAGUUAGGAAAACUACCGUUUAAAUAUUCACAAUGUG